Molecule: long non-coding RNA, 433 nt
Organism: Ornithorhynchus anatinus (platypus)
Lineage: Eukaryota; Metazoa; Chordata; Mammalia; Monotremata; Ornithorhynchidae
Exons: 3
Source: RefSeq, a predicted model, not a curated record
GGAAGUUCCUUUUCCUGACCCUCUAGUUUUGGGUUUUCUCGAUGGCAUAGUGCACAGCAUGGGAUCUUGGGGAGGCAGAGUGGUGGUCUGGUAGAAGAAGACACCAAGGAUCCUGUCAUGGUAAAAAGGCAGCUGGUGGAGAAAGAGGCAUGGGACAUGAUCAGUAACUGCUUAUGGUUGCUAUUUUAUAUCAAAAUGGAACUCUUGAUUCUAUUCCCAACACUGCUGAAGUAAGUGAUAUGCAGAAUUUACAGGAUGGAAUUGAAGAUUAUGAGAGUGAUUUUCACAGUGAUCCUACUAGGCAUGUAAAUUAAACCUAAGACUUUUCCCAUGACUUAAUAAUGAUGGCAACUUCCAGAAACUUUUCCCUGCUUCCUCUACCUGGAAUCCUGGUAAAGUAGCUUUCACAAAUGCCCCAAAUAUUAAAACUGCU